Molecule: ribosomal RNA, 450 nt
Filed under: uncultured bacterium
Lineage: Bacteria
Description: partial 16S ribosomal RNA
Rfam family: Bacterial small subunit ribosomal RNA
Source: RNAcentral
GUGGGGAAUUUUGGACAAUGGGCGCAAGCCUGAUCCAGCAAUGCCGCGUGCAGGAAGAAGGCCUUCGGGUUGUAAACUGCUUUUGUACGGAACGAAACGGUCCGGGUUAAUACCCUGGGCUAAUGACGGUACCGUAAGAAUAAGCACCGGCUAACUACGUGCCAGCAGCCGCGGUAAUACGAAGGGGGCUAGCGUUGCUCGGAAUUACUGGGCGUAAAGGGCGCGUAGGCGGACAGUUUAGUCAGAGGUGAAAGCCCAGGGCUCAACCUGGGAAUUGCGCUUGUGACUGCAAGGCUGGAGUGCGGCAGAGGGGGAUGGAAUUCCGCGUGUAGCAGUGAAAUGCGUAGAUAUGCGGAGGAACACCGAUGACGAAGGCAAUCCCCUGGGCCUGCACUGACGCUCAUGCACGAAAGCGUGGGGAGCAAACAGGAUUAGAAACCCCAGUAGUCC